CCGAUAGAAAGGGAUAUGAAAAUCUGUCCCGUGCCGCAAGGCAUCCAAGUGUCGAAAUAAAAUAAC
Molecule: non-coding RNA, 66 nt
Organism: Prevotella melaninogenica ATCC 25845
Lineage: Bacteria; Pseudomonadati; Bacteroidota; Bacteroidia; Bacteroidales; Prevotellaceae
Source: Rfam